CUGAGUUAGGGUUCCUCUAGGGCCCGACCUCCAACCCUGUGUCUACCUUACCACGUUGCUUCGGCGGGCCCGUCGGCCUCUGGUCGACCGCCGGCAGGCCUUAACCUGCUUGCUGGCCCGCGCCCGUCGAUGGCCAAUCUCAAUACAACUCUUGAUGAAACGUGUCGUCUGAGUACUAAACUAAAUAAGCAAA
This 193-nucleotide unclassified non-coding RNA is filed under the name uncultured fungus. RNAcentral describes it as "sequence contains ITS1, 5.8S rRNA gene". The record is from RNAcentral. Lineage: Eukaryota; Fungi.